Molecule: non-coding RNA, 149 nt
Filed under: Ketogulonicigenium vulgare
Lineage: Bacteria; Pseudomonadati; Pseudomonadota; Alphaproteobacteria; Rhodobacterales; Roseobacteraceae
Also listed under: 1 other name
Description: FMN sequence
Rfam family: FMN riboswitch aptamer (RFN element)
About the family: The RFN element is a highly conserved domain that is found frequently in the 5'-untranslated regions of prokaryotic mRNAs that encode for flavin mononucleotide (FMN) biosynthesis and transport proteins. This element is a metabolite-dependent riboswitch that directly binds FMN in the absence of proteins. In Bacillus subtilis, the riboswitch most likely controls gene expression by causing premature transcription termination within the 5' untranslated region of the ribDEAHT operon and precluding access to the ribosome-binding site of ypaA mRNA.
Source: RNAcentral
CCGUGUCUUCGGGGCGAGGUGCGACUCCUCACCGGCGGUAGAUGCGGCGGAAACCCCGCAUAAGUCCGCGAGCGCUUGCGCAAGCAAGGUCAGCAGAUCUGGUCAGAUGCCAGAACCGACGGUCAUAGUCCGGAUGAAAGAAGACGGCU